Molecule: long non-coding RNA, 7777 nt
Filed under: Manihot esculenta (cassava)
Lineage: Eukaryota; Viridiplantae; Streptophyta; Magnoliopsida; Malpighiales; Euphorbiaceae
Description: long non-coding RNA (MESC_LNC010460)
Source: RNAcentral
UAUGUCCUAAGGGCUAAAAGGGCCUUUUUAUAUUUCAAAAUUUUGUGGUGCUUGUGAGCUUUUCUUUUUUUAAUUUUUUUUAUUUAUGUCAAGCUUAGAUGAAAGUUGUCAAUGAUGCAUAUUCUUUGGUUCUAAGAAGCUCUUAAUUUCUACAGGCAACAUAUGUGUGUGAUUACAUUCUUGGUGGUCAACUCAAUGGAUCUAGCUCCACAAAAGAAGCAUUUCUAGAGGUAAAGCUAUAGAUUCAUAUUAACUCUUAAGGCUUAACUAAGCAUUUUCUUAUCCGGAAUUUUACAAGAUAAAUGUUGCCUUGCAUGUAGAAAUUUAAAUAUGCAGUUUCUAAGGGAUUUGAUCCGGAUGUUGACCUGGAUAAGGUUGGUAUUGCAAAUCAAACUACAAUGCUUAAGGGAGAAACAGAAGAGAUUGGUAAGUAUAAGUUACAAUAUGCUGUUCCAAUUUUACUCUGAGAGAUUUCUGUUUAUUUUCUAAAACUAUGUAUAUUUUUUCCUUUGCAGGAAAAUUGGCGGAGAAGACCAUGAUGCGCAAAUAUGGAGUGGAAAAUGUUAAUGACCACUUCAUUAGCUUUAACACAAUUUGUGAUGCUACUCAAGUAAUUCUCCUCUAUUAUCAUGGUUUUGCAUGUAGUUUUCAUAAGAGUUGUGGGAAAACAUUAUUUUAAAGAAAAUUCAACAUCCUUUCAUGGCCCCUUUUAUUUUUAAUUUAUACAAAACGCAAAAUGGCAGAUAUCUUUUCCUUUAAAAAGAAAUCCAAAAUUCAAACAAGUUAGUUACCUCACCUUGCUCCACUCAAAGGGAUAGAAGACAAAAAUGGAUGACCAAUGAUAGCCUUUAAUCCUGCACAUGCACGUAUUCAUACUGAUCCAAUUUGCAAAUUAGCUAGAAUGAAGUUGCUUGACUGCUAGUUUAUAUAUUUUCUGCUAACACAACGCUUAUUUGCUAUUUGCAGGAGCGACAAGAUGCUAUGUAUAAGUUGGUGGAGGAGAAGUUGGAUCUUAUUUUAGUAGUUGGUGGGUGGAACUCGAGCAACACCUCCCAUCUACAAGAAAUUGCUGAGCAUUAUGGAAUUCCUUCAUACUGGAUUGACAGUGAACAGAGGAUUGGUCCAGGAAACAGAAUAGCUUAUAAGUUGAAUGUGAGUAUAAAUGCUUGUAUUUGCUGUUCUUAAGCCAAGCUUUUGUUUUCCAUUUUUAUCUCAUUGAUUUUUUCCUUUUCAAAUUUACUUUAAUAGCACGGGGAGUUGGUCGAGAAAGAGAACUUCCUACCAGAAGGUCCCAUUACAAUUGGUGUAACAUCUGGUGCCUCUACUCCUGACAAGGUAAUUCACUUAUUUAUGUGUAUAGCUCUUGUCUUUAUUUCUGGGUAAUAUGCUGCAACUAUAGAUGGCUUGCCCUGCCUAAAGUAUCUGCUUUUGUUUAAAUUUCUUGCAUCUGCAUCCUCAAGACAUAUACAGUGUUUGUUUGAGUUUACAGGUGAACUAACUUUAUGUUGCGUAAUAAUUCAACAUUAAUUAGGUUGUUGAAGAUGUCCUUGUGAAGGUAUUUGACAUCAAGCGUGAAGAAGCCUUGCAAGUAGCAUAACUGUAGCUUGUGCAUCCAUCAACAAUGGCAGUAUACUGUAUAACUGUGUGUAUCAUUAACAAGAAAAGGCUUAGCAAGAUCUCUGAUAUAGCCUUCCAUGUACUCAAAAUCAUAAUGUUGGUAAUAUAGAGAUUGUAGGUUUAAGAUUUGCAAUUAGUGGUUGCAUAAUUUGACAGAAAAGAAUUCUAAAAUCAUACACAAGCCUGCACUGCACAUAUUUCACUCGGAUUAGUAUAAGAGAGAAUUGCAAGUCCAAAGAGGCCUUCUUCCAUUUGUUUUCUUUUUCCCCUUAAAAUUUCUUUUGCUUGAAGCUCAUAACAAAGACUCGUUAAGAAAAGCUGUUGAACUCAGCCCAGGAUCACUUAUUCAUCCAACUAAAUCGUAACGGUCCGAUAUAAAUUGUCUGUAAAUCCAACAAUGGAGGAAUCACCUUCGUUGGAGCUGAUGCAUGAUGAAGUACAUCAUUGUUUGUUCAUGGAAAAAAGGUUCAACUCGCUCUAUGAACGUUUAGUCAAAUUUAAAUGAGAAAUUAUUUUUUUUAAACUUUUUGUGGAAAUUAACAAUUAACAUUUCAGUUGAGUUUAGAUUAGUUUUGUCUUAAUUUAAUAAAAAAAUAUACUUCCAAUAUAAGGAUAUUAUUUUUGUAUUUUUAUAUUUUUAGGAAUUAUUAUGUUCAAAUAAAUUAAAAAUUGAAAAAUUCAAGACAAGAAACCCACGAAAAAUCUCCUACGGCCACAUUCUUUUUCAAAAUCAAAUGCUAAAUCCCCCAUAAAGUUCAUGAUAUCUUUAAUGAUAUCUUUAAUAAUGAUAUCUUUAUUUUCUCAUAAUUUUUGUAAACCCUUUUUUUGUUAUUUUAAAAUUAUUAUCUAAUUUCUUUUUUUUAUACUAUAAUAAUAUAUAUAUAAAUCGACUAUUAUAAUUUUAUUUUUUUAAAAAAAAACUUUUAAAAUAUUUUUUGAUAUUUAAUAAAAUUUAAUAUUUUUAAUAUAAGUAUAAUAAAAUAGUUAAUAAAAAAAUAUCUUUCUUAAUAUGUGUGAAAAAAUAAAAUAGACAAAAAAUUACAUGACCGAGAAAGCAUUAAAUAAAGUGAUCGAAAAGUUUGAUUUUACACAAAAAUGUUCGGAUGAUGUGAUUUAGUGAUGAGGAUUUAGUGAUGAGGAUUUAAUAGUUAAUUUGAAUAAAAUUCAAGACUUUGAUAGUAAUUUAUCCUUGUUAUAACACAGACGGCUCAAUAUGAAACUUGAGAAUCUCAGCUAUAUUGCAAACAUCACCAUAUUCAUAUUUAGGUUCAGCUGCCAGAAAAUGCAAAAUAGGACAAGGAAAAAAAAAUGUAUAAAAAAAGAGGCAGCUUUGAUGACCCCCUUUUGUUGUAUACCCAAGUAGAAAAUCAAUCUGUAUAAACUGCAACUUGAUAUUGAUUUGAUCAAGUUUCUUCCCACCAUGAAUUCAUCACUAGUUCAUGUUUUCUUCAAAUGAACUUUGCCGAGGUUCCACAGAGGCAGAGCCACCCCAAGUUCUGAUGCGCUCUUCUGCUUUCAAAGCCUGCAUUAUCAUGUAAUUCUGUUAAUUCCGCAACAGAUGAUUUGAAAUACUAUCAAGAAUUUAGUUUCUUGUGGGUGCUGUUAAAUUCUUACGAUUGAUGAGUGCGUGUUUGCGUCUAGUAUUGUGUGUUUGUUUAGAUAAUCUCUAAUGUCUAUUGUCCAGGAAAGAAUUGUAGACUUACUUCUUUCUUCCAGUUAGCACGCAGAAAGACAAAAAUCAGAACGAUUAUUUGAAGCAGACAACCAGCCAACAUUCCUGACCAUAUGCCCUUAACACCUAGAUCAAAUUUGUAGCCAAGAACAGCACCUAUGGGAAGUCCUAUGAUGUAAUAACACCCAACAUUGAUGAAUGCAACUGAGAACUGCCACCCUGCACCCACUGCAACCCCUGCAGAUGUCAAAACAAAAACUUUUUAGUCACUUCACAGGAGAAAAGACUGGUGGAUACUGGAGAUUUUUCAGUUGCAAUUACCAUGAAGCACAGGUUGGAUGCUGUUGAGGAAGAUUGUUGCUGCCAAAAAGUAACCAAGCUUUGAUGCCUCCUUCAUCACUGCUGGUUUAUCAGUGAACACCUUUGGGAAAUCAUUCUUGGUUACCAGAACCAAAGCUGUGAAUACAACUCCAGUGAUUGUUGAAGUUAAAAGAGUCACCACCACUGGGAAUUUUGCUGCUUUAGGAUUCCCAGCUCCAAGCUCAUUUGACACUCGCACGCUGCAAGCAAAUCAAGUUGAUUCAAAAUCCCCAAAACAAGAUUUCUAUGUUGGAUUGAGCCUGUUCCAGGAUUGAAGCAACUGACCUUAGUGCUGCAUUGAAACCAAGAGCAAUCAUCAGAGUCCACCGCUGCAGGUUCAUGCUGCAAAAACAUGAGAUGAUCAGUAGAAAUAACUAGAUUAAUAUGAUAGAUAAGAACAGAACAGAACUCUUACCAGAUGGAAACAGCAUCUACUGCAAUUGCUGGAUUGUGUAACCUUCCCACCAUGAAAAUUACUGCUGUAACGUACCAUAGCUCCAAGCUGGCAUGAGCAAGAAGAGAAGAAAAAUGAAACCCUGAACAUGGAUUUUGCAAAAAAUACAAUUUGAACACUAACCAUAACAUCACAGCCGACGCAAGUGAGAGUUUCAGAAAACUGGAUAUUGAUUUUAAAGCUGACCAAGAAAAACCAGUCCAAGCUUCAGGGAAACAACCACAGAAUACAUAAACAAUCUGACCCAAAACCACAAGCCACCAUGAAAUGUUCCCUGCGACGGCAGCACCAACUAGCCCGUGAUCCAGCUUCGUGACAAGCACCCAAUUCAACAACACAUGAAUUGCAAGGGCUGCUAUGGAAAUGAUCGUCAUAAUCCAUACUCUGCUCUGAGCUUGGAGAAACUUCUGUAUUGGGAAAUUUAAGGCAUAUGCAAACAAUUGAGGAAUUACCCAUAUCGAGUAUUUCCCAGCAAGCUUUGAAAUGCCUUUGUCUUGAUGAAGUAGUUGAAGUAUUGGCGAAGCAAAAACGUAAAAAGGUGCUAAAAACAAUGCUGUGAUCCCAGUAAUGAUCCAUGAUCUUUGCAUAUAGAUCCCAAGCAUGUUGAGUUGUCCAGCGCCGACAGCUUGUCCACACAGUGCCUCGAGGGCACUUCCCAUCCCUAGCUAAUACGCAAAUCACAGCACAAGUAAUUGCAGAAACUUAGACAGUAGGCCAAAUUGAGAAAAGGGUAAUUGAGAUAUGAUUAAAAAGGCUGCAGAUUACUUACCAUCACACCAUAAACAAAGCCUUCAAUUACAUUCUGAACAAUGGAAACAGCAGCCAGCUCUACUUCUCCCAAAUGGCCAACAAAUGCAGAAGUGACGAAUCCAAUAGAGAAUUGAGCUACUGCUGUCAACAUAGCUGGUGCUGCUAUUUCCCAAAUCUUCUUUGAUUCAUCCCAGCUUUUUUUCACCAUUUUUUUCUUACCCAUAACUCCAUUAAUCACCUGCAUCUCUAUUCCAAGGCUCUUUUCUUGAACUGAAUCAUCUUUUUCCUCCAUUAGAAUAGCCGUUUCUGUUCCCCUUCUUCACCAAUUACCAUGUGAGAGGAAUAAAAACAACCUGGAAUCUUGGAAGAAGACUAGACAAGAAAGAUUUACAGGUUGUAUCAGAGGAUUAAGGAAAGAGAACUGUUUUAUGAACAGAAGUAAGAAGCUGAAAUAUUUUCAUACUUCACAUGUUUUCUUCUUGAUGUUAUUUAUAUGGACAAACUGCUGUUCAUUUACCUAUGGAAAACUUACUAUUUAGUUUAUACAAUAGAGAAAAAUUUAUUAAUUGAUUUUCAUAUGUGAUAUUUAAAAAAAUUUAUUAACAGAUUUUUUCAUUAAUUUUAACAGUCAAAUAUUAUAAAAAAAAAAUUAAAAUGUCAUUGGUACAUAGAGAUAAUUUAAUAGACUUUUACAAAUUUAAAAAAUGAAUUAAUAAAUUUUUAAAAUUAUAAGGGUUAAAUCACUAAAAUUAAUAAAAAAAUUAAUUAAUAGAGUUAUUAAAAUUUUAUGAACGUUUCAAUAUAUUUUUUCAAAAGCUUAACUACUAAGUUUUCUAUAAUAUUGAGCUCAACAACAAAUUCACCAAUCUUUAAUUUCAUGUUUGCCAGCUAACUCUUUUUCCUCUAUUCAGCUGACAUUUUUGACUACUUGUUGCAUAUGUUUGUAUGCUGCUUUGAACAUUUGAUUUCAUGGAGGUAGGUUGGUUCAUUACCCUCUGAAAGUUUAUGAGCUCGUGAAUUAUUAAAAGAAUUAGAAUGAGGUGAAAUUAAAUAUGAUGGCCUCCUUAACUAUAAAGGUUUUUUUGCUAAGGAGCUCCGUCAUUCAAUACUCUAAAAUGACAAGAACGUUUGAGGCUAUUAAUCGAUUCAUGUGCUUUUUUCUGUUAGCGUGGUUGGUAAAGUUAGGUAUGGAAGAGGUUCGAGCAUGUCUCGAAAGGUACAAAUGGAUCACUAAAGAACACUCAUUUGUCAUCUUUCUAUAUUCGGUAUGAAUUGAUUGCAGUCUUAGAGUAGAUUAUUCUUUUUUAAAAAUUAUUAAUUAAUAUCCAAAUCAAAUUCAUAUUUAUUAAAAUAAUUGAAUUUCAUCGAUUUAUUUGAUUAUAUCUGAACCAAACUUUUUCUUUUUUAUUCAAAUUUUACCAUAUCUGAAAAUUAAAAAAAAAAUGUAAAAUUGAAAACUACAUCACUUACCCUUUAUUUCAUUUGGCAUGAGUUAUUUUGUAAAAAAAAAUAAUUUAAAUAAAUUAUUAUAAAAUUAUACAAAAUUUUAAUUUUUUUUAAAAUAAAAAUUUUAAAAAUUAAAAAAUUUUAUUUUAAAUAAAAUAAUUAUUAAAAAAAUUAAUUGAAUUGAAUUUUUAUUAAAUAAAAUAUUUAAUUUUGAAGAGAGAAUUAAAAUAAAUUUAUUAGUUAAAAAUAAUAUAUAUUUUCAAAAUAUUUUUCAUUUAAAAUAUUUUAUGUAAAAGCCUUUUUCAUAAAGAUAUUUUUUAAGAAAAUAAUGUAUUUUUCAUUAUUUAAUUAUAAUGUUAAAAAAUAAAUAUUAUUAAUAAAUUUAUAUGUAGUGAUAUUAAAAAAAAAAAAUUCUCAAAUUCUCAAAGUUGGACUUGGGAUCUCGAUGGUAGGACGUGACAAGAUUAUAAUUUACCCUCUGAAAGUUUGAUUUUAUGAUUUCAAGGUAGACGAAUUUUUUAUUUCUCAACUGGAAUUUUAAUGCUCGUGAAGAAAUUGGUUAAGAUGAGCGAAGUUUGAAUAGAUGUAUUUGUUAGUGAAAGCUCUUUUGUUCUCCAUGGCAGCGUUUAGAAGAGAUGGAUGUCCAAAAUAUUCCUGUUGGCGAAGGGAAGAAACACUUUGAAGUUGUGGACAGUGGUGAUGUUGUGAUUUUGCCUGCUUUUGGGGCUGCAGUGGAGGAGAUGUUAACUUUGAGCAACAAAAAUGUGCAAAUUGUCGAUACAACUUGCCCUUGGGUAUCUAAGGUAUCUUUAUGAGCGGCUUUUAGCUGUUACAAUAACUUAUUGCUUGUAAAUCUUUUAUCUUUCCUUUGACAUGCGUUGUUGGUGCCCCUUAAAAUUGUCUGAAGGUUUGGAAUAUGGUUGAAAAGCACAAGAGGGGAGACUACACUUCAAUCAUUCAUGGUAAGUAUGCUCAUGAGGAAACCAUAGCUACUGCCUCUUUUGCUGGAAAGUAUAUCAUUGUGAAGAACAUGGAAGAGGUAUGUCCUAAGGGCUAAAAGGGCCCUUUUAUAUUUCAAAAUUUUGUGGUGCUUGUGAGCUUUUCUUUUUUAAAUUUUUUUAUUUAUGUCAAGCGUAGAUGAAAGUUGUCAAUGAUGCAUAUUCUUUGGUUCUAAGAAGCUCUUAAUUUCUACAGGCAACAUAUGUGUGUGAUUACAUUCUUGGUGGUCAACUCAAUGGAUCUAGCUCCACAAAAGAAGCAUUUCUAGAGGUAAAGCUAUAGAUUCAUAUUAACUCCUAAGGCUUAACUAAGUAUUUUCUUCUCCGGAAUUUUACAAGAUAAAUGUUGCCUUGCAUGUAGAAAUUUAAAUAUGCAGUUUCUAAGGGAUUUGAUCCGGAUGUUGACCUGGAUAAGGUUGGUAUUGCAAAUCAAACUACAAUGCUUAAGGGAGAAACAGAAGAGAUUGGUAAGUAUAAGUU